ACGUAGGGUGCGAGCGUUAAUCGGAAUUACUGGGCGUAAAGCGUGCGCAGGCGGUUUCGUAAGACAGAGGUGAAAUCCCCGGGCUUAACCUGGGAAUGGCCUUUGUGACUGCGAGGCUAGAGUGUGACAGAGGGGGGUAGAAUUCCACGUGUAGCAGUGAAAUGCGUAGAGAUGUGGAGGAAUACCGAUGGCGAAGGCAGCCCCCUGGGUUACUACUGACGCUCAUGCACGAAAGCGUGGGGAGCAAACAG
RNAcentral lists this ribosomal RNA (251 nucleotides) under uncultured prokaryote. Its description in RNAcentral is "partial 16S rRNA". It matches the Rfam family "Bacterial small subunit ribosomal RNA", at positions 525 to 775 of the family's 1533-position model. The record is from RNAcentral.